RNAcentral lists this microRNA precursor (79 nucleotides) under Heliconius melpomene (postman butterfly). Its description in RNAcentral is "microRNA hme-mir-6310 precursor". Lineage: Eukaryota; Metazoa; Arthropoda; Insecta; Lepidoptera; Nymphalidae. The record is from miRBase by way of RNAcentral.
UGUGAUCUAAAGUGUCACAUUCCUUCCUAGCCACCAAUUUACUGCGUCCAGGUGGGAAUGUGACACAAUUUUGGUCACA